UUGAAGAAGAGCAUUGGAUGUUGAUAGUCAGUCGUAUGCGAGGCUAUCAAGUACAACACCACAGGAACAACUGUUAGGAACUUUCUGUUGCGUGUAAGCUGCUGUCCAUUAUCUAUCUGUUCCCACCAAGUUAGCCUAUUAUAUAUCCCCUGGUCUUCUGCAAAUGGUGUUCCCUUCUUCCAGUGGAAGAAGUGAUAAGUGAUACAGAAGUGGGCGAGAUUGACGAUGGUCCAGGCCAUGCCAGGAGAGCAGCC
RNAcentral lists this unclassified non-coding RNA (254 nucleotides) under Hevea brasiliensis (rubber tree). Lineage: Eukaryota; Viridiplantae; Streptophyta; Magnoliopsida; Malpighiales; Euphorbiaceae. The record is from RNAcentral.